UACGGAGAGUGCAAGCGUUGUUCGGAUUCACUGGGCGUAAAGGGCACGUAGGCGGCUCGGCAAAUCGGUCGUGGAAUCUCGACGCUUACCGUUGAAACGGCGGCCGAAAAUACCGGGCUCGAGGGCGUGAGGGGUCACUGGAACUCCUGGUGAAGCGGUGAAAUGCGUAGAUAUCAGGAGGAACGCCGGAGGCGAAAGCGAGUGACUGGCGCGUUCCUGACGCUGAGGUGCGAAAGCUAGGGGAGCAAACAGG
RNAcentral lists this ribosomal RNA (253 nucleotides) under uncultured bacterium. RNAcentral's name for it is "partial 16S ribosomal RNA". It matches the Rfam family "Bacterial small subunit ribosomal RNA", at positions 524 to 776 of the family's 1533-position model. The record is from RNAcentral.